AACCAUACAUAAGUAAUAACUCGUAUACAUUCGGUAAUAUGGUCCGACAGUUUCUACCUGCUAACCUUAAAUAAGCAGACUACGAGGUUAUUUGAAGUUUUA
RNAcentral lists this non-coding RNA (102 nucleotides) under Clostridium autoethanogenum. Its description in RNAcentral is "Guanine sequence". It matches the Rfam family "Purine riboswitch aptamer". From Rfam's summary of the family: Riboswitches are metabolite binding domains within certain messenger RNAs that serve as precision sensors for their corresponding targets. Allosteric rearrangement of mRNA structure is mediated by ligand binding, and this results in modulation of gene expression. The record is from RNAcentral. Lineage: Bacteria; Bacillati; Bacillota; Clostridia; Eubacteriales; Clostridiaceae.